Long non-coding RNA from Musca domestica (house fly), 351 nucleotides. RefSeq lists it as uncharacterized. The transcript is spliced from 2 exons. The record is from RefSeq and is a predicted model, not a curated record. Lineage: Eukaryota; Metazoa; Arthropoda; Insecta; Diptera; Muscidae.
UGUCAACUACGUCAUUAAUAAAUAUCUAUAACCCGGCUGUUAUUUUUAUUCAUACGCUUGAAUGGUUGACGAUCGCGGUCACUUUCAGUUUUGAACAUGCAAUCAAUAAUGGAUAGAUAUGACAAUGAUACUGCCAGUGUCACUGAUAAGGAUGCGGACAGCCUGUGUCAUAAUAUUAUAUGUAUAGUUGUUGGUGUUGUUGUCGUCUGGAUCGUAUCUAACACGGCUAUGUAAACAAAUCGUUACGAAGCAGAUAUGUAUCUCUCACACGCAUUCGCACAUUCUCUUUCGUACUGUUUUCGUUUUAUUUAAAAAAAUAAUAACAAUUCAAUUCUCGUUGUUUUUGCCGUA